UUUUCUCACAACAGUCGUUUGAAAUAACUGUCACUUCACGGAGUUCGCGUUCGAUCCGUGUUGGCCUGGGCUUCUUCGGUGCAACUUCGCUGUGUAUUCAAGGUCUUUUUAAAUGGACAGCUUUGUUGCUGAUAAGCUAACUGAGUGGUGGCUGUUUAAGCUGACAGAGACAUUUUUUGAGGCCGUCUACAGUGUUGGGAAGAAGACAAUCCGGCACUCCACUGAAGAUCCUGGACAGCAUUCAUACACCAAAUGUCUGUUGGAACAAAUAUGGUGGAAUACAGUGGCGGCUCGUGACUGCUCAUCCGAGGAUGCGCUAAUUCAAAAUGAGUGUUCAGAUUGUCACGUGUGUGGUUUCCUUUUCCAAAAUAUGUGUCCUGCGUGUCGAGAGAUCCUGUGUGCAUCACAUGUUUUAUCACAAUACGUGCCUGCUGCACACGCGUCAAAACUGUUUAUGAUAAAAGAGACACUCAUGUUCACAAAAUACACACUAGACACUUUCUUAACAGUAAACUCUGAUUACGCAUGAGAUUAUGCCAGUAUCUGGCAAACGCAAUCAUCUCUUUUAUCAUAAACCCUUUAGACGCGUCUGCAGCAGGCACUUAUUUUGGCAUGACACAUGAUGCACACAGGAUCUCUCAAAGCGCAGAACACAUAUUUGGAAAUAACGAACCACACACAUGACGGGCUACAUACAUGUUGUGACGAACUUCGCAUCGAGCGCCCUCAAAAAAUAAGUCACCGGCCCCCACUGGUGGAAUACCUUCAGCAAUCGAUGCCAUUCCCCUCUGGGAGAUCUUAAGCUGCAGUAAAAGACACAACCAAUGUUUGAAGACUUAAAGCCUCAAGUUCAAUUUAGUUAUUGAAUGCUGUCAAAUGUUUGAGAGUUGUUUAUUUUUCUAUUUUUCCUUUCUAAUGUUAUUACAGUGUGACCUUAAAUAAAUAGGUCAAAGUGUGUGUUUUUUAUAUAGAAUUUAAUUGAAUGCAAUAAAAAUGUAAAACUGAUUGAAGUGUGUAAGUGCCUGGAUUUUUCUUUUCUGAAAUAAAUAAGGCAUAGUGGCAUAGUUACACAAUUUAGGUUAUCUAUGACCUUUGGUUAAAAGGAUCUACUAAUUUCUGGGUUAUUUCAACCCAGAUAUUGGGGUCUUUCUUUUGACCCAGAAGUUGGGUUAUAUUAACUACAAUGUUGGGUUAUUUUAACCCAGAAGUUGGGUCAGGUAUUUAACCCAGAAGUUGGGUCAAAAAGAAUAACCCAUUUUUCUGGGUUGAAAUAACCCAGAAAUUAGUUGGUCCCUUUUUAACCCAGGAGUUGGGUCAAAAAUAACCCAUAAUGGGUUGUUUUUGACCCAGGAGUUUUUAG
Non-coding RNA from Misgurnus anguillicaudatus (oriental weatherfish), 1360 nucleotides. NCBI's taxonomy places the organism in Eukaryota, Metazoa, Chordata, Actinopteri, Cypriniformes, Cobitidae. The record is from RefSeq and is a predicted model, not a curated record.